UUGGCCAUUUUUUGUGAUCAGAAUUUCCCAAAUCGGAUCGUCUGCUUCUCCUUCUCGAAAUCUUGGACGAAGAAGAUGACCCGAGGAAAACAGAAGAUCGAAGCUCAAAAACGAAAUGCGGAGAAGAAUCAGAAGCCCAAAGGCUCACAACUCGAGGCCAGAGCGGUUGCCCUUAAAGUCAUCUGCCCUAUUUGCAAGGUACAACUAGCAAAUCAUAACCAAUUGGGUGAUCACUAUGCCUCCAAACAUCCAAAGGAAAAGCCUCCAGCAGAAUCUGGCUGAAUCUUCUUGCACGUCGAAGUAAGUGCGUCGGUAUAUUGAAGGAAGGCAUUUCGAAGUUCUCUACUUGUUCAGAUCAAUGAAAGUUGCUCUUAUUGUCUUCAUCUUUCUUGUUCUUAAAAUGUACUAGUCCUCUCCUUGUAAGGGUAAAAAUGAUGAGUCAUUCUGUCACUUGUAAAAUAAACUAGACUCUAAUAUUUAUUCCAGAUUCUCAUUAUAGUUUUCUAUGUGCAUUUGGAAAUAUGGAAUCCCAA
Non-coding RNA from Momordica charantia (bitter melon), 533 nucleotides. The record is from RefSeq and is a predicted model, not a curated record. NCBI's taxonomy places the organism in Eukaryota, Viridiplantae, Streptophyta, Magnoliopsida, Cucurbitales, Cucurbitaceae.